AGCUUCCUGCAAGAAGCAAAUUAAGGGAGGUAUUACAUAUCAAGAAUGAUGCAAUACAAGGCGCAGGCAUUUGGGUCGGAUAAAUCGUUGGUUAUCGCCCUACGGUCAUUUGCUUCUUGUUGCUGACUAGAAGGAAAAGAAAGCUUCUCCUUGGAGAUCUCACCAUACAAAUUAUUGGGCUUACAGCGUGGAAACUGUUUAUGUUGAACAUAAGAGUUUUUUAACAAAUACUUGUCAUCCAAGGAUUGCAUACUAGCUUAAAAGUUUAGACGAAGUCUGCUUUAAUUUUUUUGGCAUGAUGACAUUGACGAUGCUAAAACGAGGAACUAGCGGCACAACGAACGAGGAACAACCACAGAACUAGCGAAACGACUAUGGAAUGAGAGAAAACCAGGGAAUGACUGUGGAAUGAGAAGAGGACUAGCAGAAAGACCAAAGAACAAUACACCAAUUCAACUCACAGCCUUCAGCUUUUGAAAAAUUCUUCAAAUUCUUCAAAUUGUUUUGUACAAAAUAUUCAGAUUUGAAUCAACAGCAAGGAAUUUAGCCUGCUUAGGAGUUUUCAUUAUGGUAUUAUUUGACCGUGAUUGGUGACUAGGGGGUAAAGUUUCCCCCGGAAUGUUUUUUUGCGGUCAAAACCCUUACAAGUUUUCAAACUUCGUUUCUCUGUAAAAUCUAAAAUACAAGCACAAACAAUAUGAAAAAUUGUAUUCAGCUUAAGAUUAUGGUGAUAAAACUAAAUCUGAGCUUAAAAAAGUCAUAUUCACCGUUUUGGGUUGAUAUAAUUGAUUUUGCAUCUUGCAAUCUAAAGACGUUUCUCAAAAAUGGACUUCAGAUUUGAAAUCUUCAUCUUGAAUUUAGUUUAUAUUGAGAACUUUGUGUUGUUUGGACUGUUCGAUUGAAAGUUACUUUUUUUUAAUAUUAAAAUAUUUCUUUAGAUUUGACUGAGUUUUGCUGCUGUAGUGAAAAAUUUCACUACAGCGAUUAAUUCCAUUGAAAUGUAUAGGAAAAGCUAAAUUUUGAAAAUGGGGAAAUAUGGGGUAAUUCGCAGCCUGACAGCCAAAACAACAUGAUGAAAUUUUCAGCCCAGACUAAAGCAAAACAAUCAGUUCCGUGGCGACUUGGGGGCUUGAGCCCCACUGGGAAUUCGGUUUAACCUUGCUGACAGCAUUUUCACACAGAACAGGAUUUAAAGAAAAUCAAAACAAAAAAGCUUAAUGUUUCCCACAUAUAUAUGAAGGCAAAUCAAGUUGGGUCCACAAUCCCGGACAAAAAUGUUGAGACAAAAUGCAAUUUAUGUAAUUUUCUACUUUACCUUGCUCCAGUAAAUUCCAAUCCCCCCUUUCCCCCCAAAGCAAUGUUGGUAGUUCUAUCAUUUUUGCUUUAAAAUCAUGCAUUCAACAUUGAAUUGGGGAAGGGGGAAGCUAUUUUUCAAAGGAAAGAGAAAACAAAGUUUUCUUGAAAAGUCUCAACUAUUUUUUUCCAGGAUUGUAGCUCUCAAUUAGACUGUACUCUUAAUCAAUACGACAUGAAAGUUUAUAAAAACAGCGUAAUUAGAGGUAUAAGUAAAAUAUAAGUAUGAGAAUCGGAGAGUUCCAGACAACCUCUAAUAUUAGAAGGUGAUCUCGAAAUUUUGCUGUCUUUAGCUUUCAAACUUUAUGUUAAAAAUCUCAAAUAGAAAUACCUUGAAAGAAUUAAAAAAGUACAGUUGAACUAUAAAAAGACAGAGGUGAAAUCUUUCGAAAUCGGCAACAAAAACAUAUAGAACCAUCUUUAUCGAACUAUGAGAAUGAAGGCAUUUCAAGAACCGACAAUGAUAUGGAUGAUGAUGAUAAGGACGAUGUGAAUAAGAUUGAUAUCAUCAAAAAGCUCUAUUCUCAUUCUAAGCAUAAGGUUGCCUUGCUUUGUAGGGUUGUAAAAUUCAUCCAAUGAGUGCAUUUUUUAGUGAACUGGAGGCAUCAAAAAUUCAAAAAAUUUCCUUCCCCUUCCAUGGCAACCAUGGUGCCGCCUCAGGUUAGAACUAUAUCGUGUACUUGUUUAUUGCUCUUCAUGAAAAAAUCUGCAACUUUACAAAGACUUAUCCUAUCUAAGUGAAAAUAAUUUAUAUUCUGUAUGACUAAAGGAAGAAAGUUUUGUGAUGCUUUAGUCUAAAGGAUGCUGUGUCAGGGGAAGUUUCUUAAAUACCAAAAGAAAUUUGGCACUCUUUUCUGACCACCUUCCUUUAAGCCUAACAGUAAAGACUUUCUUAACCAUUGCUUAACUUCUGGAACUUUACUGCAUACCAACUUGCACAACCCUACAGUCUUACUACUUUAUUACAUGAUCAUUAUGCUUUUAUAUUAAAGUAUUUAAGUUAAUGUCUAUUCUUCUAUUAUGAUUUGGCUUUAGACUGCUGCUAUUACCACAAAAUCACAAGAUAAUACAGUAGUGUUCAGCAUAUAAGAAACAUAAAUAUAAGAAACACAGACCUUGGUUUUGAAAAUAAUACCCCCAUUUUAUUAUAAACUGGACAUACUAAAGCCUUUGAAAAACAUAGCCAAACACUUUGAUAGGAUAGUGUAUUCUGUAUACAGUGCUGUUUGUCAGGCUUAAAUGAUAUGUUUUGUAUCACAAUGAUAGAGGUCCUGUCUGAGUAGUUAAUCUUUAGUACAUGAUUUUUCUAAUAAGAAACUUUACCCUGAUUUGAAGAUUGUCUCAUUUUAUUCUAUUGAUAGAAGAAACAAGUCUGACCUGAAAUUGAAAGUGUUGUUUCUUAUAUGCUGGUCACUACUGUAUAUGAAUGAAUUAAACAGAGGAGGUUUCAAAAAUUUAGACUGACAUUGGUUAAUUUAUUCAAGAACCACAUAGACAACAGCAUUGAAACAUAAACAAUGUCCAUUGAGACGAAGUCAGUUUUAAAUCCCUAC
Molecule: long non-coding RNA, 2906 nt
Organism: Rhopilema esculentum
Lineage: Eukaryota; Metazoa; Cnidaria; Scyphozoa; Rhizostomeae; Rhizostomatidae
Source: RefSeq, a predicted model, not a curated record